Molecule: long non-coding RNA, 380 nt
Filed under: Ananas comosus (pineapple)
Lineage: Eukaryota; Viridiplantae; Streptophyta; Magnoliopsida; Poales; Bromeliaceae
Description: long non-coding RNA (ACOM_LNC017090)
Source: RNAcentral
UUUUAAAUUUAAUUAUUUUUAGUUAUUUAAUUGAAAGAUAUUGAUUCUUCGUGUGUUUGUAGUGUGAAUAAUAUUCUGCAGUAAGAUAUCCUCCGAUUGGCAAAAAUUGGACAAGCAAUUUUUUUUUUUGUCUCUGCAAGUAAAAUACGUUAUCUUUUUUAACUAAAAAAUAGGUCUGUCAAUAACUAUUUUAAUAGUUAUUUAAAAUCAAAACAAAUUUCUGCAUCUUAUAUAUUAAAAAUAUAUAAUAAAAUUUAAUUUCUUAAAAAAUAAAUUCAUCUAUUAUAUUUUAUUAGAACAGUCGUAUCCUAAUUCAAAAUCAAAUUGUUUCCAACAACAAAAAUAAUAUAGUUCUAUUUGUAAUAUAUCAAAUCUCCAAC